Molecule: ribosomal RNA, 171 nt
Filed under: uncultured Acetobacter sp.
Lineage: Bacteria; Pseudomonadati; Pseudomonadota; Alphaproteobacteria; Acetobacterales; Acetobacteraceae
Description: partial 16S ribosomal RNA
Rfam family: Bacterial small subunit ribosomal RNA
Source: RNAcentral
UCCUACGGGAGGCAGCAGUGGGGAAUAUUGGACAAUGGGGGCAACCCUGAUCCAGCAAUGCCGCGUGUGUGAAGAAGGUCUUCGGAUUGUAAAGCACUUUCGACGGGGACGAUGAUGACGGUACCCGUAGAAGAAGCCCCGGCUAACUUCGUGCCAGCAGCCGCGGUAAUA